AGCAAAAUGAUGAAAAUAUUUAAGCUGAAUUAUAUGUUGAAAUUCAUAUAUUAGCCUUCAAAGUUCUCUGAUUGCA
This is a non-coding RNA of Solanum tuberosum (potato), 76 nucleotides long. The record is from Rfam. Lineage: Eukaryota; Viridiplantae; Streptophyta; Magnoliopsida; Solanales; Solanaceae.